UUGACCUGAACUCAGUCGAGAGCACCCGCUGAACUUAAGCAUAUCAGUAAGCG
This 53-nucleotide ribosomal RNA is filed under the name Meloidogyne incognita (southern root-knot nematode). Its description in RNAcentral is "partial 28S ribosomal RNA". The record is from RNAcentral. Lineage: Eukaryota; Metazoa; Nematoda; Chromadorea; Rhabditida; Meloidogynidae.